GGCCAUGUGGUGGAAUUGGUAGACACGCCAUCUUGAGGGGGUGGUGCCGUAAGGUGUGCCGGUUCGAAUCCGGCUAUGGUCAC
This 83-nucleotide transfer RNA is filed under the name Flavobacterium suaedae. RNAcentral's name for it is "tRNA-Leu". It matches the Rfam family "tRNA". From Rfam's summary of the family: Transfer RNA (tRNA) molecules are approximately 80 nucleotides in length. Lineage: Bacteria; Pseudomonadati; Bacteroidota; Flavobacteriia; Flavobacteriales; Flavobacteriaceae. The record is from RNAcentral.